CAUUUGCGAACGAAAGGCAGGCAGCGCGGGUCACGAACUCUGACCUUUAGACUGUCGACAUCCUUCACAAUUUUCAAGAAAAUUUCGUCUAAAAGGAAGUGAAGACACUGAAGGAGACGGGGAAGAGACGAGACUUGUGUUACCAUGGAAACAGUACAAGUUCACGAGGUUGAGAGUGGGCAGGAAAUAACAUGUACGUCAGACCAUACC
Long non-coding RNA from Lytechinus variegatus (green sea urchin), 210 nucleotides. RefSeq lists it as uncharacterized. NCBI's taxonomy places the organism in Eukaryota, Metazoa, Echinodermata, Echinoidea, Temnopleuroida, Toxopneustidae. The transcript is spliced from 2 exons. The record is from RefSeq and is a predicted model, not a curated record.